CCAAUUUUAAAAAAAGAACAGAAAGCUUUUAUGCUCUCUUCCCCUCCCCCUUUUUCUUUCUGUCGAUUGGGUUCCUCAGAGACCCGCCCUACCGCCACUGACGACGGCGGUGACCGUCGUGUACAGCAAAGGAGCUCAACCCAGGUACGCCUACUUUAAAUUUUUUUAUGUUUCUUUGUUAAAAAAAGGUUUUCUUCAAAAAAGAAAGGGAAAAAAACAAUGAAUAAAUAUGAAAAAACAAGAUAAGCAGGGAACGAAAGAAGGAAAAAAAAGGAAAUAAAGAACAAAAAUAAACCUUUUGAACUUUUCUAUUUCUUUUUUUUUUUUGUUUUUAUAUGCGUCAAAAGAAACUACAAGGGAGAGAUGUGGCUUUUAAAGCCGAAAAUACAAGAUUCGUUUUUUUGUUUUAUUCUUUUUAUCGUUUCCAUGUAUUUUGCGUGUUAGUCUCUCUUUGCAGGUGUGUCAGAGGCAUGCGAGGCUGGUGGUUGGUGCCCCGAGCGGUGGUGGUAGCGCGCGUGAUGGCCAAGGGCAGAGGGAGGAGUGACGGCUGAGGCUGAAGGAGGCUAGGGUUGCUGAAAAAUCUUAAACAAAUGGGCUAUUAUUUGGGCUAGGGUUUGAUGUAAAUUGGGUUUGGGUAGUUUUGGGUUAAAAUCUGGGUAUUGGGUUUUAAUUAGGUUUUGUUUUAAUUUUGGGCCAUGUAUUGGACUAUUUUUUUUGUUUAUUUGGUUUGGGUUCUUUUAGGCCAAAAUUGGCUAUUACAAUUAGAAUAGCUUACCCCUUCCCCAGCAUUAGAGGUGAUCAUGGGCCGGGUCGGGCUGGGUUCGGGCUGGGCUAAGAUAAAAUUUUAGGCCUGUCUACUAGGCCCGGGACCGGCCCAGCCCGGCCCGAAAUAUGGGCCUAAAAUUUUGUCCAAGCCCGGCCCUAAAUAAAAUUACUAAGCCUGAGCCCGGC
This 951-nucleotide long non-coding RNA is filed under the name Gossypium barbadense (sea-island cotton). RNAcentral's name for it is "long non-coding RNA (GBAR_LNC010816)". Lineage: Eukaryota; Viridiplantae; Streptophyta; Magnoliopsida; Malvales; Malvaceae. The record is from RNAcentral.